CCUACGGGCGGCAGCAGUGAGGAAUAUUGGUCAAUGGACGAGAGUCUGAACCAGCCAAGUAGCGUGAAGGAUGACUGCCCUAUGGGUUGUAAACUUCUUUUAUAUGGGAAUAAAAUGAUCCACGUGUGGGAUUUUGUAUGUACUAUAUGAAUAAGGAUCGGCUAACUCCGUGCCAGCAGCCGCGGUAAUACGGAGGAUCCGAGCGUUAUCCGGAUUUAUUGGGUUUAAAGGGAGCGUAGGUGGAUUGUUAAGUCAGUGGUGAAAGUUUGCGGCUCAACCGUAAAAUUGCAGUUGAAACUGGGAGUCUUGAGUACAGUAGAGGUAGGCGGAAUUCGUGGUGUAGCGGUGAAAUGCUUAGAUAUCACGAAGAACUCCGAUUGCGAAGGCAGCUUACUGGACUGUAACUGACGCUGAGGCUCGAAAGCGUGGGGAUCAAACAGGAUUAGAUACCCGAGUAGUC
This 460-nucleotide ribosomal RNA is filed under the name uncultured bacterium. Its description in RNAcentral is "partial 16S ribosomal RNA". It matches the Rfam family "Bacterial small subunit ribosomal RNA", at positions 338 to 795 of the family's 1533-position model. The record is from RNAcentral.